Molecule: long non-coding RNA, 596 nt
Organism: Homo sapiens (human)
Lineage: Eukaryota; Metazoa; Chordata; Mammalia; Primates; Hominidae
Exons: 3
Source: RefSeq, a predicted model, not a curated record
AUUCUAAUUGGCUGAGCUGCGUGUCCACGUGACCGAUUGAACCGCCCACCUGGGUCUUCCAGCUGCCUAUCAAACGCACAGCCCGGUAGGGCCCGGGGGAGGAACAGCCAAGAGGGAGGCCGGGCCAGGGGCUGGUGGCUUCCUCCGCGAGCUCUGCCAGUUUCUGGCCUCAGGUCCUGAGUUGUUAUCGCAAGUCCAGGAAGAAUGAGGUUACUCAGGCAACUGGAGGGUGAGGAUGGAGAAGAGCUUUAUUGAGCAACAGAACAGCUCUCAGCAGAGAGGAGACCCAAAGUGGGUAGCUCCUACCUGCAGGAAGAAGUAAUCAAAUUUUCUUGCCAAUUGUGUCUUUAACCAUGGCUGAUCUAAGACUGUUGCCAUCCACAGACAAUUAUUGUUUUACUUUUUGAUUCUUCUCAAAAAGAGGUUCAUAAUCAGCUGUAGACCAAAAUUUGCUUCUAUAUGGAAAUUCAUGGAAAAGACUCUGACAAGUAUUCUUAAAUACAGGUUUCUGAAGGGGGCCAAGAUGGCCCAAUAGGAACAGCUCCAGUCUGCAGCUCCCAGAAAGACCAACGCAGAAGGCAGGUGAUUUCUGCAUU